This 776-nucleotide ribosomal RNA is filed under the name uncultured Neocallimastigales. Its description in RNAcentral is "partial large subunit ribosomal RNA". It matches the Rfam family "Eukaryotic large subunit ribosomal RNA", at positions 26 to 627 of the family's 3401-position model. Lineage: Eukaryota; Fungi; Neocallimastigomycota; Neocallimastigomycetes; Neocallimastigales. The record is from RNAcentral.
CGUCUAUAUACGUAUAGCAUAUCAAUAAGCGGAGGAAAAGAAACUAACUAGGAUUCCCUCAGUAACGGCGAGUGAAGCGGGGAAGAGCUCAAAUUUGAAAUCUUCAAGGUUCUACCUUGACGGAUUGUAGUUUAAAGAAGUGUUUUCUGUUGGAGUUUUGGUAAAAGUUCUUUGGAAUAGGACAUCAUAGAGGGUGAGAAUCCCGUAUUUGACCAUUAUUUCCAACUUUGUGAUACACUUUCAAAGAGUCGGAUUGUUUGGGAAUGCAGUCCAAAAUGGGUGGUAAAUUUCAUCUAAAGCUAAAUAUUGGCGAGAGACCGAUAGCGAACAAGUACCGUGAGGGAAGGAUGAAAAGAACUUUGAAAAGAGAGUUAAUCAGUACGUGAAAUUGUCAAAAGGGAAGCGUUUGACACCAGUGUUGUUUUCUCGAAAAUCAAUUAAAAAUGGCGGGAUUUUGUGUUGUAUUGACUUUAUCAGCUUUCUGCACUUUUUUCCUGUCUUUUUUAAUGCACUUUUCGUUUAACAAGUCAACAUCAAUUUCUUUUGUUGUAAAAGGGUCAUUGGAAGGUGGCUUUCUUUUCGGAGAAAGUGUUUAUAGCCUUUGGCCUCUGCAAUCGGAGAGAUUGAGGUCUGCAGCGUAGAUCCUUCGGGGUUAGAUAGCAUUUGUGCUAAGUUAUAGCCUUUCAUAGACAACUUGUUGACUAUGAUCAGUCAUGUAGCUUACUCGCUUAUGCUAUUUUACCUACGCUUAGGAUGUUGACGAUCAGCUGAGCGCG